Molecule: ribosomal RNA, 478 nt
Filed under: uncultured bacterium
Lineage: Bacteria
Description: partial 16S ribosomal RNA
Rfam family: Bacterial small subunit ribosomal RNA
Source: RNAcentral
GAUGAACGCUGGCGGCGUGCUUAACACAUGCAAGUCGAACGAGAAGUGGAGACGGAAACCUUCGGGCGGAAGACUUUAUUUCGAGUGGCGGACGGGUGAGUAACGCGUGGGUAACCUGCCUCAUACAGGGGGAUAACAGUUGGAAACGACUGUUAAUACCGCAUAAGACCACAGCACCGCAUGGUGCGGGGGUAAAAACUCCGGUGGUAUGAGAUGGACCCGCGUUCGAUUAGCCAGUUGGCGGGGUAACGGCCCACCAAAGCGACGAUCGAUAGCCGAUCUGAGAGGAUGACCGGCCACAUUGGGACUGAGACACGGCCCAAACUCCUACGGGAGGCAGCAGUGGGGUAUAUUGCACAAUGGGGGAAACCCUGAUGCAGCGACGCCGCGUGAGUGAAGAAGUAUUUCGGUAUGUAAAGCUCUAUCAGCAGGGAAGAAAAUGACGGUACCUGAGUAAGAAGCCCCGGCUAACUACGUG